Molecule: ribosomal RNA, 253 nt
Filed under: uncultured bacterium
Lineage: Bacteria
Description: partial 16S ribosomal RNA
Rfam family: Archaeal small subunit ribosomal RNA
Source: RNAcentral
UACCAGCACCCCGAGUGGUCGGGACGUUUAUUGGGCCUAAAGCAUCCGUAGCCGGUUCUACAAGUCUUCCGUUAAAUCCACCUGCUCAACAGUUGGGCUGCGGAGGAUACUAUAGAGCUAGGAGGCGGGAGAGGCAAGCGGUACUUAGUGGGUAGGGGUAAAAUCCGUUGAUCCAUUGAAGACCACCAGUGGCGAAGGCGGCUUGCCAGAACGCACUCGACGGUGAGGGAUGAAAGCUGGGGGAGCAAACCGG